This 77-nucleotide transfer RNA is filed under the name Chitinimonas arctica. RNAcentral's name for it is "tRNA-Pro". It matches the Rfam family "tRNA". From Rfam's summary of the family: Transfer RNA (tRNA) molecules are approximately 80 nucleotides in length. Their secondary structure includes four short double-helical elements and three loops (D, anti-codon, and T loops). Lineage: Bacteria; Pseudomonadati; Pseudomonadota; Betaproteobacteria; Neisseriales; Chitinibacteraceae. The record is from RNAcentral.
CGGCGUGUGGCGCAGCCUGGUAGCGCACCUGCUUCGGGAGCAGGGGGUCGGAGGUUCGAAUCCUCUCACGCCGACCA